GUGUCAGCCGCCGCGGUAAUACAGAGGGUGCAAGCGUUGUUCGGAAUUAUUGGGCGUAAAGGGCGCGUAGGCGGUGUGGUAAGUCACCUGUGAAAUCUCCGGGCUCAACUCGGAGCUUGCAGGCGAAACUGCCGUGCUGGAGUGUGGGAGAGGUGCGUGGAAUUCCCGGUGUAGCGGUGAAAUGCGUAGAUAUCUGCAGGAACACCCGUGGCGAAGGCGGCUGACUGGAUCGCAACUGACACUGAGGAACGAAAGCUAGGGGAGCAAACAGGAUUAGAUACCCUGGUAGUCCUAGCCCUAAACCAUCGGAACUUGGGGUGGCCCGCGUAGGCGGGUCGUCCCGUAGCUACCGCGUUAAGUUCCGCGCCUGGGGAGUACGGUCGCAAGACUGAAACUCAAAGGAAUUGACGG
This 411-nucleotide ribosomal RNA is filed under the name uncultured bacterium. RNAcentral's name for it is "bacterial SSU rRNA". It matches the Rfam family "Bacterial small subunit ribosomal RNA", at positions 505 to 916 of the family's 1533-position model. The record is from RNAcentral.